RNAcentral lists this transfer RNA (68 nucleotides) under Fontecilla graphicus. Its description in RNAcentral is "tRNA-Asp". Lineage: Eukaryota; Metazoa; Arthropoda; Insecta; Neuroptera; Ithonidae. The record is from RNAcentral.
AAAAAGUUAGUUAAAUCAUAACAUUAAUAUGUCAUAUUAAAAUUACUGGUAUAAUCCAAUACUUUUUG